RNAcentral lists this ribosomal RNA (184 nucleotides) under uncultured Rhodospirillales bacterium. RNAcentral's name for it is "partial 16S ribosomal RNA". It matches the Rfam family "Bacterial small subunit ribosomal RNA", at positions 138 to 334 of the family's 1533-position model. The record is from RNAcentral. Lineage: Bacteria; Pseudomonadati; Pseudomonadota; Alphaproteobacteria; Rhodospirillales.
GGGGGACAACCCUGGGAAACUGGGGCUAAUACCGCAUGGGAGCUGAGGCUCAAAGCCGGCGACGGCGCCUUUGGAGUGGCCUGCGUUCGAUUAGCUUGUUGGUGGGGUAAUGGCCUACCAAGGCUACGAUCGAUAGCUGGUCUGAGAGGACGACCAGCCACACUGGGACUGAGACACGGCCCAG